AGAGUUUGAUCAUGGCUCAGGAUGAACGCUGGCGGCGUGCUUAACACAUGCAAGUCGAACGAGCUAUUCUCUUCGGGGGAUAGCGAGUGGCGGACGGGUGAGUAACGCGUGGGUAACCUGCCCCAUACAGGGGGAUAACAGCUGGAAACGGCUGAUAAUACCGCAUAAGCGCACAGUAUCGCAUGGUACGGUGUGAAAAGCUCCGGCGGUAUGGGAUGGGCCCGCGUCUGAUUAGCCAGUUGGCGGGGUAACGGCCCACCAAAGCGACGAUCAGUAGCCGACUUGAGAGAGUGACCGGCCACAUUGGGACUGAGACACGGCCCAAACUCCUACGGGAGGCAGCAGUGGGGAAUAUUGCACAAUGGGCGAAAGCCUGAUGCAGCGACGCCGCGUGAGUGAGGAAGUAUUUCGGUAUGUAAAGCUCUAUCAGCAGGGAAGAAAAUGACGGUACCUGACUAAGAAGCCCCGGCUAAAUACGUGCCAGCAGCCGCGGUAAUACGUAUGGGGCAAGCGUUAUCCGGAUUUACUGGGUGUAAAGGGAGCGCAGGCGGCGAGGCAAGUCAGAAGUGAAAACCCGGGGCUCAACCCCGCGGAUUGCUUUUGAAACUGCCCGGCUGGAGUGCAGGAGGGGCAAGCGGAACUCCUAGUGUAGCGGUGAAAUGCGUAGAUAUUAGGAAGAACACCGGUGGCGAAGGCGGCUUGCUGGACUGUAACUGACGCUGAGGCUCGAAGGCGUGGGGAGCAAACAGGAUUAGAUACCCUGGUAGUCCACGCAGUAAACGAUGAAUACUAUGUGUCGG
Molecule: ribosomal RNA, 800 nt
Filed under: uncultured bacterium
Lineage: Bacteria
Description: bacterial SSU rRNA
Rfam family: Bacterial small subunit ribosomal RNA
Source: RNAcentral